GGGGCCUUAGCUCAGCUGGGAGAGCGCCUGCUUUGCACGCAGGAGGUCAGCGGUUCGAUCCCGCUCGGGUAAA
RNAcentral lists this transfer RNA (73 nucleotides) under Listeria monocytogenes. RNAcentral's name for it is "tRNA-Ala". The stretch from base 8 to 65 matches the Rfam family "tRNA", at positions 8 to 63 of the family's 71-position model. From Rfam's summary of the family: Transfer RNA (tRNA) molecules are approximately 80 nucleotides in length. Their secondary structure includes four short double-helical elements and three loops (D, anti-codon, and T loops). The record is from RNAcentral. Lineage: Bacteria; Bacillati; Bacillota; Bacilli; Caryophanales; Listeriaceae.